Molecule: ribosomal RNA, 425 nt
Filed under: uncultured bacterium
Lineage: Bacteria
Description: bacterial SSU rRNA
Rfam family: Bacterial small subunit ribosomal RNA
Source: RNAcentral
UGGGGAAUCUUGCGCAAUGGGCGAAAGCCUGACGCAGCAACGCCGCGUGCGGGAAGAAGGCCCUCGGGUUGUAAACCGCUUUCAGAAGGAACGAAACUGACGGUACUUUCAGAAGAAGGUGCGGCCAACUACGUGCCAGCAGCCGCGGUGACACGUAGGCACCAAGCGUUGUCCGGAUUUAUUGGGCGUAAAGAGCUCGUAGGCGGUUCGAUAAGUCGGGUGUGAAAACUUUGGGCUCAACCCAAAGCGUGCAUUCGAUACUGUUGUGACUAGAGUUCGGUAGGGGAGUGGGGAAUUCCUAGUGUAGCGGUGAAAUGCGCAGAUAUUAGGAGGAACACCGGUGGCGAAGGCGCCACUCUGGGCCGAAACUGACGCUGAGGAGCGAAAGCGUGGGUAGCAAACAGGAUUAGAUACCCCGGUAGUCC